AGAGUUUGAUCAAGGCUCAGGAUGAACGCGGGCGGCGUGCUAACACAUGCAAGUCGACCGGUCUUUUCGGAGAUAGUGGCGGACGGGGGAGUAACGCGUGAGAAUUGCCUUUAGGGUUCGGGACAACAGUUGGAAACGGCUGGUAAUACCGAAUGGGCUGAAAAGUAAAAGAUUAAUUGCCUAAAGAUGAGCUCGCGUCCGAUUAGUAGUUGGUGGGGUAAAAAGCUUACCAAGGCGACGAUCGGUAGCUGGUCUGAGAGGAUGAUCAGCCACACUGGGUGAGACACGGCCCAGACUCCUACGGGAGGCAGCAGUGGGGAAUUUUCCGCAAUGGGCGAAAGCCUGACGGAGCAACGCCGCGUGAGGGGGGAAGGCUUUUGGGUUGUAAACCUCUUUUCUCAAGGAAGAUAAUGACGGUACUUGAGGAAUCAGCAUCGGCUAACUCCGUGCCAGCAUGCCGCGGUAAUACGGAGGAUGCAAGCGUUAUCCGGAAUAAUUGGGCGUAAAGCGUUCGUAGGUGGUUGUGCAAGUCUGCUGUUAAAGCGUGUAGCUUAACUACAUAUAGGCAGUGGAAACUGCACAACUAGAGUGCGUUCGGGGCAGAGGGAAUUCCUGGUGUAGCGGUGAAAUGCGUAGAGAUCAGGAAGAACACCGGUGGCGAAAGCGCUCUGCUAGGCCGCAACUGACACUGAGGGACGAAAGCUAGGGGAGCGAAUGGGAUUAGAUACCCCAGUAGUCCUAGCUGUAAACGAUGGGUACUAGGCGUUGCUUGUAUCGACCCGAGCAGUGCCGUAGCUAACGCGUUAAGUAUCCCGCCUGGGGAGUACGCACGCAAGUGUGAAACUCAAAGGAAUUGACGGGGGACCGCACAAGCGGUGGAGUAUGUGGUUUAAUUCGAUGCAACGCGAAGAACCUUACCAAGGCUUGACAUGUCCGGAACCUUUGUGAAAGCAGAGGGUGCCUUCGGGAGCCGGAACACAGGUGGUGCAUGGCUGUCGUCAGCUCGUGUCGUGAGAUGUUGGGUUAAGUCCCGCAACGAGCGCAACCCUCGUUCUUAGUUGCCAGCAUUUCGGAUGGGCACUCUAGGGAGACUGACGGUGACAAACCGGAGGAAGGUGGGGAAGACGUCAAGUCAUCAUGCCCCUUACGCCUUGGGCUACACACGUACUACAAUGCUGUGGACAAAGAGCAGCCAACCAGCGAUGGAGCGCUAAUCUCAUAAACCACGGCUCAGUUCAGAUCGCAGGCUGCAACUCGCCUGCGUGAAGUAGGAAUCGCUAGUAAUUGCAGGUCAGCAUACUGCAGUGAAUUCGUUUCCCGGGCCUUGUACACACCGCCCGUCACACCAUGGAAGUGGGUCACGCCCCGAAGUCCUUUCCCCUAACCGAAAGGAGGGGGAUGCCGAAAGGUAGGACUGAUGACUUGGGGGGAAGUCGUAACAAGGUAGCCGUACCGGAAGGUGUGGCUGGAUCACCUCCUUU
RNAcentral lists this ribosomal RNA (1481 nucleotides) under Rivularia sp. 1PA19. RNAcentral describes it as "16S ribosomal RNA". It matches the Rfam family "Bacterial small subunit ribosomal RNA". Lineage: Bacteria; Bacillati; Cyanobacteriota; Cyanophyceae; Nostocales; Rivulariaceae. The record is from RNAcentral.